GCUUAUAUAGUUUAAAAUCGAAC
RNAcentral lists this transfer RNA (23 nucleotides) under Amyda cartilaginea (black-rayed soft-shelled turtle). RNAcentral describes it as "partial tRNA-His". The record is from RNAcentral. Lineage: Eukaryota; Metazoa; Chordata; Testudines; Trionychidae.